Molecule: long non-coding RNA, 3030 nt
Organism: Piliocolobus tephrosceles (Ugandan red Colobus)
Lineage: Eukaryota; Metazoa; Chordata; Mammalia; Primates; Cercopithecidae
Source: Ensembl
AUGAUUUAUAAAUUUAUGUAUAAUUUAAAUAAAAUAAAAAAUGUAGAAAACGAUUUAUUCCUUAUUGAUAAUAUGUCUUAUUUGUUGAAAUAUAUUUGUGAUAGUAUAACACAUUUUUGUUAUAAAAAUAGAUUGGAUGAAAACAAAAGUAGUGACCGAAAAACAAAAAAUGAAUAUAAUUUGAAUAAAAAUUAUUUAUUCGAUUUGGAGAAAAAAAACGACGAGAAAUUUGAAAAGAUAUAUAUAAAAGGAAAACCAUAUAUACGAUUAUACAAAAAUAAAAUGAGCGAAAUUGUUUUAGAUACAUAUAAAAAAUCGCUUGAUUUUAAUUGGGAAUAUGAAACAGAGAAUCGAUCUGAUAUAGACAGUACAGAUGAAGAAAUAGGUAGUAAUAAUAAUAAUAAUAAUACUAUAACUGAUUGUUAUAAAUAUGAAAAGUUUAAAAAUAAAAAUUGUUUUAAUGGUAGUAUAACGGUAUGUUCUAAAGAAGAAGAUAUGAGUGAAGAGAUCAUGAAUAUAAUGCUUAUCAAAACAAAACAUUCGAAGAGUGAUUUGAUGAAUAUAUAUAUUAUGUAUUUAUUAUAUAUAAGUCAAUUUAAUUUAUUAAAUAUUUUAAAUUAUAAUAUGAAUGUACGAAAGUUUAUAUUAUCAUCUGUUUUUAAUUUACUCAAAGAAAUGAAUAGUAAAGUAAAAAGUUAUAAUAUAAAUAUAUUAACCAAGAAUAAUAUAAAUAAUUUUAAUAAUAUAAUUAUUAACAAAUUAAUAUGUUUGUUUAUUAAUAUAAAUGAUAUGCCCAAUUUUUUAAAUUAUCUUUAUUAUUACAUAGGUCUUAAUUCUAAUAAAUCAAAUUGCUAUUACAAACUAAUAAAUUUUUUAUUAAAUUCCAUUUUUAUAAAUGUAUUUAAACAACAUAUGGAUAAAUUAAUUGAUAAUUCAGAAGUGUUUCUAACUGUUUUUAAUAAAAUAUAUGACCAAGUCGUAAAUAAAAUGUUGACUUUGUUAGGUCAACAUAUCAAUUCAAAAAAAAGAAAUGAAAAAAGUAACAUGUCAUUAGUUUAUGAAAAUGCGAAUUCCACUAACAAUAAUAACCAUAAUAACUAUAACAAUAAUAACCAUAAUAACUAUAACAAUAAUAACAAUAAUAACAACCAAAGAGGGAUACAACAAAAAAAAGUAAAAAAUAAUUUUAAAUAUGUUGAUCAUCAUACACAACAAUUUCAACAACUAUUUAUAAAUAUAGAAACAUUAGAAUAUAUAAUUUCUUGUUAUUUUAAUGCUAUUAAUAAAAAUAAUAUUAAUCACCAUUUUAUUAUACAUACUAUAAAAUUAUUAAAAUUAUAUAUUGAAAAAAAAAACAUAUUAUUAAAAUAUUAUAACAUGGUUCAUCAAGGUAUCUUUAAUAUAAAUUUUUAUAAUGUAUAUCAUAGUCUAUAUAUAUAUAUAUUUUUUAUUUAUAAUGCUUCUAGAUUGUUUCUUUUCGCUUUAACAAAUAAACAAACAAAUAAACAACAGUUGAAAAAAAAAAUAAAAAUAAUUAUUAUUUUAUUGCAAAAUUGUUUACACAGUAUAGAAGUUAUAUAUGACCAGUCUGUCAAUGAAAAUCAGGUUUAUAUAUUCGUUGAUAUAGUCCACUUAUUGUUGAAGACUCUGACGAUGUAUAUGUAUUUGUCCGAGUUUGGGUUGAUAGAUGAAACUAUCAUGUUUGGUUACAUCAACCAAUUUGUAAAUGUCAUAAAAAAAAACUCCAUACAAAAUUACGACCACCAUAUAAAAAAUACAAUUAAUAAAUAUAUUUUAAAUUUUUUUGUUUAUAAUUAUAAAUAUUUAAUGCGGACAUAUGCAAAUAAUGAAGAUUUAAAAAAUAUUUAUAUAAAUAUUAUUUCAUUGUUAUUUAUUGAUAUAAUGAAAAAUGAAAAUUGUGAUUUAAUAAUAAACCUAUUUGAUCUUAUAAAAUUUGAAACAGAUUUGUAUAAUUUAUUUUGUAAAGUUUUUUUAGCAAGUUACAUUUUUAUUAUUAAACAUAUGAACAUAAACAAGGAUUGUAAACAAUUGUUAAAUCAAAUAAAAAACAAAAUGUCAGUUAUUGAAAAUGUAGGUUAUGAAGAAAUUACAAAAAAAAUAAUUAAAAAAAAUAAAAUUUUUAUAAAUAAUGAAAAUAUGUACGAACAGUUUAAUUUGAGUAAAAAACUUACCAUCAUAAAAAGUAAUUUUGAAAAAUUUUAUAUUACUAUAAAAUUUAAUAAAUAUAAAAUGGAUUCGUUUUUUAUUGACAAUAGAAUGGAAGAUGUGGAUUUUGAGUAUGGGUAUGUUAAAAGUGGUAGUGAUAGUGAUAGUGNNNNNNNNNNUAGUGGUAGUGGUAGUGGUAGUGGUAGUGGCAGUAGUAGUAGUAGUAGUGAUAAAAGCAAAAGUCAAACCGAUAAAGAAAAAGAAAUGAUGGUAAAUACCCAGUACCAUUUGAACAUAUGUAUUCUAAGUAAGAUAUUUUUAUCGUUACAUAGUAUUAAAAAUAUAGGAGAACAAUUAUUAUCAAUUUUAAUGACUAUAUUUAAUAAUAUAAAAAAUUAUGAAAAAUAUAAUAAAUAUAUAUUAAUACAUAUUUUAUUAUGUUUUAUUAAUAAUUUAAAUACAAUGGAUGAAAAAAUGAUAAAUAAAAUAACACUUUCUUAUUUUAUAAAAUAUUCCUUUUUAAUAUUAAAAAUACAAAAAAAAUAUAUAAAAAAAAAUAUAACUAACACUACUAAUAAUAACAACACUAAUUUGUUUAUACUUAAAUUGUUCUUUCGAGUUAUUAACAAUUUUAUAUAUAUUAUAAAAAAUAAACCAGUAGAAGAAACUAUGUUGGAAAAGGAAUUGCACGAGAUGGACAACAAUAUUUCUUAUAAUAACAAUCUUAAAAAAAAAAAGAACAUAAGACAGAAUCACAUAAAAGAAAUGACAUCAAAUGAAAAUAGUAACCUAAUUAAUGGAAAUAAUAAAUUAAAAAACAAGAAAGAUAAAGACAAUACAAAUAUUAUAAAAAAAAAAAAAUAA